This 72-nucleotide transfer RNA is filed under the name Marmota monax (woodchuck). It matches the Rfam family "tRNA". From Rfam's summary of the family: Transfer RNA (tRNA) molecules are approximately 80 nucleotides in length. Their secondary structure includes four short double-helical elements and three loops (D, anti-codon, and T loops). Lineage: Eukaryota; Metazoa; Chordata; Mammalia; Rodentia; Sciuridae. The record is from Rfam by way of RNAcentral.
GGGGGUGUAGCUCAGUGGUGAAGCACUUGCACAGCAUGCAAGAGGCCCUGGGUUCUAUCCACAGCACCACAA